RNAcentral lists this ribosomal RNA (253 nucleotides) under uncultured bacterium. Its description in RNAcentral is "partial 16S ribosomal RNA". It matches the Rfam family "Bacterial small subunit ribosomal RNA", at positions 524 to 776 of the family's 1533-position model. The record is from RNAcentral.
GACAGAGGGGGCAAGCGUUGCUCGGAAUUACUGGGUGUAAAGGGUGCGCAGGCGGACUGGUAAGUCAGAGGUGAAAUCUCGUCGCUUAACGACGAAACUGCCUUUGAUACUAUCAGUCUUGAGUCCGGUAGAGAUCUGUGGAAUUCCGAGUGUAGCAGUGAAAUGUGUAGAUAUUCGGAAGAACACCAGUGGCGAAGGCAGCAGAUUGGGCCGGUACUGACGCUCAGGCACGAAAGCAUGGGGAUCAAACAGG